Molecule: ribosomal RNA, 1318 nt
Filed under: uncultured bacterium
Lineage: Bacteria
Description: bacterial SSU rRNA
Rfam family: Bacterial small subunit ribosomal RNA
Source: RNAcentral
GGUGAACGCUAGCGGUGCGCCUAACACAUGCAAGUCGAGCGGUAGAAUAAUAAUUGAUUUCUUCGGAAUGAUAAUAUUGUUUGAGAGCGGCGAACGGGUGAGUAAUGUGUUGAUACCUGCCCUUAAGUCAGGGAUAGUCUAGAGAAAUCUAGGUUAAUACCGGAUAGUCUCUUUGGAGUAAAGAUUUAUUGCUUAAGGAGGGGUCUGCAUUCUAUCAGCUUGUUGGUAAGGUAAUGGCUUACCAAGGCUAUGACGGAUAACUGGUCUGAGAGGAUGAUCAGUCACAAUGGAACUGAGACACGGUCCAUACUCCUACGGGAGGCAGCAGUGAGGAAUCUUCCACAAUGGACGAAAGUCUGAUGGAGCGACACCGCGUGAAGGAUGAAGGUCUAACGAUUGUAAACUUCUUUUCUGAGGGAGCAUAAUGAGAGUACCUUAGGAAUAAGGGACGGCUAAAUACGUGCCAGCAGCCGCGGUAAUACGUAUGUCCCAAGCGUUACCCGGAAUUACUGGGUGUAAAGGGUUUGUAGGUGGAAUAAUAAGUCAGAUAUGAAAGACCGGAGCCUAACUUCGUGUUUGUGUUUGAAACUGUUAUUCUAGAAUCAGGGAGAGGUAAGCGGAAUUCUAAGUGUAGGGGUGCAAUCCGUAGAUACUUAGAAGAACACCAAAAGCGAAGGCAGCUUACUGGAACUGUAUUGACGCUCAUAAACGAAAGCGUGGGGAGCGAAAAGGAUUAGAUACCCUUGUAGUCCACGCCCUAAAUGAUGAUAACUAAGUGUUGCUUUUUGAAGCAGUGCUGUAGCUAACGCGUUAAGUUAUCCACCUGAGGAGUACGGUCGCAAGAUUAAAACUCAAAGGAAUAGACGGGGACCCACACAAGCAGUGGAUCACGUGGUUUAAUUCGAUAAUAAACGGGGAAUCUUACCCAGACUUGACAUCCUGAGAAUUCUCUAGAGAUAGAGAAGUGCCUUUAUUGGAGCUCAGUGACAGGUGCUGCAUGGUCGUCGUCAGCUCGUGCCUUGAGGUGUUCGGUUAAGUCCGUUAACGAGCGUAACCCAUGUCCUUAGUUAUUAUGUCUAAGGAGACUGCCUUGGUUAACAAGGAGGAAGGUGUGGAUGACGUCAGAUCAGCAUGGCUUUUACGUCUGGGGCUACACACAUGAUACAAUGGUAUAUACAAAGGGUAGCAAGAAUGUGAAUUUUAGCCAAUCCUAAAAAUAUAUCUCAGUCCGGAUUGGAGUCUGUAACUCGACUCCAUGAAGUUGGAAUUGCUAGUAAUCGUGAAUCAGAUAUGUCACGGUGAAUAUGUUCCUGGGUCU